UACAGGGGGGGCAAGCGUUGUUCGGAAUUACUGGGCGUAAAGGGCCAGUAGGCGGCCAACUAAGUCACUCGUGAAAUCCCCAGGCUUAACCUGGGAACUGCGUGUGAUACUGGAUGGCUUGAAUUCGGGAGAGGGAUGCAGAAUUCCAGGUGUAGCGGUGAAAUGCGUAGAUAUUCGCAAGAACACCAGUGGCGAAGGCGGCUCACUGGCCCGGUACUGACGCUGAGGUGCGAAAGCGUGGGGAGCAAACAGG
RNAcentral lists this ribosomal RNA (253 nucleotides) under uncultured bacterium. RNAcentral's name for it is "partial 16S ribosomal RNA". It matches the Rfam family "Bacterial small subunit ribosomal RNA", at positions 524 to 776 of the family's 1533-position model. The record is from RNAcentral.